This is a long non-coding RNA of Oxyura jamaicensis (ruddy duck), 815 nucleotides long. RefSeq lists it as uncharacterized. The record is from RefSeq and is a predicted model, not a curated record. The transcript is spliced from 3 exons. NCBI's taxonomy places the organism in Eukaryota, Metazoa, Chordata, Aves, Anseriformes, Anatidae.
GAGGGUAAACCCAGAGACAGGUGGUAGUAAACCAAGGCUUUCACCAGGUGAAGCUCUGAUUGCUUUUGCCCCAUAAAAUGCCAGCAGCUGCUCCCCUCUUGUUCCUUGCAGGCUAUGGGGUAAGAAAGCAUCCCCUGUGGAUGCUUUGAAGUGGAGCAGCCUUGUUGGAAAAGGAUAUUACAUUGGCCUGAUACCCUGAGCUAUUUGCACUGAUAUCCCCACGGAGGAGAAGAGCUGGCUGGGAGAAGAAAAUGAACAGUUCUAUUUAUGCAGCAAGUAAAUGAUUGUGGAGCAAGUGCUGGUUACCUGCUGCUCCCGACACUGGUGCCCAGUGCUAUAAGGGAUGGAGAGCUGCAUCGCCCUCCUCCUGGACAGAAUUAAUUGAUGGUGAGGAAGAGAUGAUGGAGUCUGCCUGGUGCCUCUUGUAGUGGCUGCUCUGAGCCGGGAGCUCCCAUCUUCCCUUAGCCAACGUCCCUGUGCUGGAUCUGGAGUCCUUCAAGUCUGGAUGCAAGGGUGAUGGUGUGCACUUGGCUCGCUUUCUGUAAAAAUUCAUUCUGAAAAGAAGGGGUUUAUUAUAUACCCUCCUGUCUCUCUUGCAGUUACCCAAACAUACCCUCUCAGCAUAGAUAAUUAAAAGUGAACACACAUCCCCAAAGAGGAGCUAUUCUGAAGGCAGCUCAGGUGUGACUAAGCAUGCCCCUUUCUGUAUUUCACCCUUUGAGAGCUUCACAAAUCAAAGAGAAUCAUUUUCAGACAGUGAUGAAUCACUUAUACUCCCAUUUGUUUGCUCGGAGUCUUCCUUUAAGAGAAUGUGA